This 1472-nucleotide ribosomal RNA is filed under the name uncultured Bordetella sp. Its description in RNAcentral is "partial 16S-23S ribosomal RNA intergenic spacer". It matches the Rfam family "Bacterial small subunit ribosomal RNA". Lineage: Bacteria; Pseudomonadati; Pseudomonadota; Betaproteobacteria; Burkholderiales; Alcaligenaceae. The record is from RNAcentral.
GGUUCGAUCAUGGCUCGGAUUGAACGCUGGCGGGAUGCUUUACAUGCGAGUCGAACGGCAGCACGGACUUCGGUCUGGUGGCAGUGGCGAACGGGUGAGUAAUGUAUCCGGAACGUGCCUAGUAGCGGGGGAUAACUACGCGAAAGCGUAGCUAAUACCACAUACGCCCUUCGGAAAAGCGGGGGACCUUCGGGCCUCGCACUAUUAAAGAGCGGCCGAUAUCGGAUUAGCUAGUUGGUGGGGUAACGGCUCACCAAGGCGACGAUCCGUAGCUGGUUUCAGGACGACCAGCCACACUGGGACUGAGACACGGCCCAGACUCCUGCAGGGAACGGCAGUGAAAUUUUGGACAAUGGAAACCCUGAUCCAGCCAUCCGCGUGUGCGAUGAAGGCCUUCGGGUUGUAGAAGCACUUUUUGGCAGGAAAAGAAACGGCACGGGAUAAUACCCCGUGCAACUGACGGUACCGCAGAAUAAGCACUGACUAACUACGUGCCAGCAGCCGCGGUAAUACGUAGGGUGCAAGCGUUAAUCCGGAAUUACUGGGCGUAAAGCGUGCGCAGGCGGUUCGGAAGAAGAUGUGAAAUCCCAGAGCAACUUUGGAACUGCAUUUUUAACUACCGAGCUAGGUGUGUCAGAGGAGGUGGAAUUCCGCGUGUAGCAGUGAAAUGCGUAGAUAUGCGGAGGAACACCGAUGGCGAAGGCAGCCUCCUGGGAUAACACUGACGCUCAUGCGAAAGCGUGGGAGCAAACAGGAUUAGAUACCCUGGUAGUCCACGCCCUAAACGAUGUCAACUAGCUGUUGGGGCCUUCGGGCCUCAGUAGCGCAGCUAACGCGUGAAGUUGACCGCCUGGGGAGUACGGUCGCAAAGAUUAAAACUCAAAGGAAUUGACGGGGUUCACACAAGCGGUGGAUGAUGUGGAUUAAUUCGAUGCAACGCGAAAAACCUUACCUACCCUUGACAUGUCUGGAAUCCCGAAGAGAUUUGGGAGUGCUCGCAAGAGAACCGGAACACAGGUGCUGCAUGGCUGUCGUCAGCUCGUGUCGUGAAGAUGUUGGGUUAAGUCCCGCAACGAGCGCAACCCUUGUCAUUAGUUGCUACGAAAGGGCACUCUAAUGAGACUGCCGGUGACAAACCGGAGGAAGGUGGGGAUGACGUCAAGUCCUCAUGGCCCUUAUGGGUAGGGCUUCACACGUCAUACAAUGGUCGGGACAGAGGGUCGCCAACCCGCGAGGGGAGCCAAUCCCGAAACCCGAUCGUAGUCCGGAUCGCAGUCUGCAACUCGACUGCGUGAAGUCAGAAUCGCUAAUAAUCGCGGAUCAGCAUGUCGCGGACCGAAUACGUUCCCGGAGUCAUACACACCGCCCGUCGCACCAUGGGAGUAGGUUUUACCGAAGUAGUUAGCCUAACCGUAAGGAGGGCGAUUACCUACACGGUAGGAUUCAUGACUGGGGUGAAGUCGUAACAAGGU